Suricata suricatta (meerkat) is the source of this 1305-nucleotide long non-coding RNA. RefSeq lists it as uncharacterized. The transcript is spliced from 3 exons. The record is from RefSeq and is a predicted model, not a curated record. NCBI's taxonomy places the organism in Eukaryota, Metazoa, Chordata, Mammalia, Carnivora, Herpestidae.
UCCCCGCCUGCGGAGCGCCGCUCGCUGCGCCCGGGCCUCUCUCGGCCCGCCGCUGACGGCGCGCCGGCGCGUCCCUCGUUUGCCGUUCAUUUGAUACAAGAAAUGUGCUGUCACUGAGCAAGGCAGAGCAAGGGGCGGAAGCCAGAACUACCGCCGUAUACUUACAAGGGCUGAUGGAGACCGCAGUGAUCAAUGGGGCAAAGGAGAAAAAGGCAACAGGGCAAAAAAAGAUGCAGUUGGUGAAGAUGAGCCAGGCGACGUGCUUGAUCGUGCUAGAAUGUGCGUUUUCUGAAAGGUCCUCCUUUUCCAAGUUGCAGUACAGUUUUGUGUAGACGAUGGCCAUCAAUAGGAAUGCCAGGGAGUUUAAUAACACUAAGGUCACAGUAAAUCCUAGAGACGGCGUUUCUCCCGUGGGGAACGGCAAGCACAGGGGUGACGCAGAGUACUCCCCGCUGUGGAAGAGUGGGAAGCAGCCUGCCACUACAGCACCCAGAAAAGCGAAAAGGGCAGCAACCCGGAAGUGCUUGAGAUGACGGCUUUUCCCGUUUUUCAUGGCAUCUUUUGCGGAUAAGCUUCUUUCAACGGCUGCCAGCGUUAAUAGAAAUAUAGCACUUUCAGAGGAGAAAAUCGCAAGAAACCCAGCUAUUCUGCACCCACUGCCAAUCUCCCACCAAAUGCCAAACUCAGCAAAUCUGCCCCAGGACACAGCGUCCAGAAAAGUUAAGAUGCCAGUGUAAGCUCCCAUGAAUAAGUUGGAUACGGAAAUCAGGCCUAUGAACAGUUUGGAGGAAGGUGGUGAUGUGCAAGAUGCAAAUGUGGUUAAAAUGACCAGCAGAUUGAAAAACACUGCAACCAGAAAAAUGAACCACACGGAAGUGAUAAGAGGAAGCUUCCAUCUUUAUCUCUGUAUCUGAACUCAUCCUCCUUCAAGAAAGAGGGAGUAGCUCAUCUGACCUGAGAGAACAGGACACCCUUCUGGAAGUAUUUGGUUAGGUUGAGGUGCCCUCCCUGAAAACUCUGGAAGCACGUUCCACUCAGCCACGCUCUUUGAAAACUGGAGGCUGCCUCCAGUUCUAAUGGAUGGACCCCACUCUCUGCUCCUCCCUGCUUCCGAGCGAGCACAUGGCGGGUGUGUGUCACUACAGCUGAGUGGGGGGCGCAGGCCCACAGUGUAUCUUUACUGCAGCAGGGGUGGGGGGAUCUGAGACCAACCUUCUUCCUGGCUAAGGUUUAAAUUCAGUGUCGAGGAAAUGGAAUCCCCACCUGUUCAGGUCUAGUCUCUAUAAUAAAGUUCCUCCCUUCUCA